RNAcentral lists this non-coding RNA (97 nucleotides) under Heterosigma akashiwo. The record is from RNAcentral. Lineage: Eukaryota; Raphidophyceae; Chattonellales; Chattonellaceae.
AAAGGCAUCCAUUGAAGAGCACAGUGUGGGAAAACUUUUUGCAUAUAUUAUAUAUAACUGUUUUUUUCAUAUAGUAUGUUAUACCAAUGUAUAAUAA